Molecule: transfer RNA, 88 nt
Filed under: Candidatus Poribacteria bacterium
Lineage: Bacteria; Candidatus Poribacteria
Description: tRNA-Leu
Rfam family: tRNA
About the family: Transfer RNA (tRNA) molecules are approximately 80 nucleotides in length. Their secondary structure includes four short double-helical elements and three loops (D, anti-codon, and T loops).
Source: RNAcentral
GGGCGGGUGUUGGAAUUUGGUAGACAAGAUAGAUUUAGGAUCUAUUGGGGUUUUCCCCGUGAGGGUUCAAGUCCCUCCUCGCCCACCA